Long non-coding RNA from Pyrus x bretschneideri (Chinese white pear), 714 nucleotides. RefSeq lists it as uncharacterized. The transcript is spliced from 3 exons. The record is from RefSeq and is a predicted model, not a curated record. Lineage: Eukaryota; Viridiplantae; Streptophyta; Magnoliopsida; Rosales; Rosaceae.
CACACCCAUACCACACACUCCCGUGACUCCCUCUCUCUUCCUUCUCUCAGAUUUUCUUCCAUUUCCUUUGCAAGUGUACGGACGAACUUCAAAACCAACCUUUCACGCACAGAUCGACGUCUAGAAGGUAAGAUUCGAACUCCUUGCAAGCUCUUGAGUUCAUCCAUACCAUUUUUAGAACUUGAAACCCUCGAAAACCCUAGAACCUGAGAACCCAAUUUUCAUGCACUGUUCAUGCACUAAUCAUCGUGAAGGUUUCAGUGGAUUUUAAGGUCUUAGAGAGCUUUAGAAUACUCUCACGAAGCUCAGGGAACAAGUUUGAAGGAUUUUGGACGUCAGGAUAGCAAGUUCUAAGGUUGGCCGGAUUUUGCGAGGUUUCUCCGGCGAGAUUCUGUGAAUUUCAGGGCUUCAAAGUGGUGAGAUCUAUUCUGAGGACGAGCGCAGUCACUCAAGGCAAGAGGGUUACAACCCUUCCACAUAUCAGUUCUAGUUUGGUUUGCUCUUUUGAUGGCUUACGAGGAAUCCACGGCAUAUCUGACAGAUUAUCUCCAGUGUAGGACCACCUCUGUGUGUGUUUAGUUAGUGUUUAUUCCUCUGGACUGCAAUAGGUUUUCUGUGCUCUGAAUAUUGUUUUUCACAUUUACACUUGCACUUGUACGUUAACUACAUUGUUUUGUAGUUUGAUUUUUAUUUAUUCAUACUUUUAUUAUUAUA